AGAGUUUGAUCAUGGCUCAGAUUGAACGCUGGCGGCAGGCCUAACACAUGCAAGUCGAGCGGUAGCACAGAGAGCUUGCUCUCGGGUGACGAGCGGCGGACGGGUGAGUAAUGUCUGGGAAACUGCCUGAUGGAGGGGGAUAACUACUGGAAACGGUAGCUAAUACCGCAUAAUGUCGUAAGACCAAAGUGGGGGACCUUCGGGCCUCAUGCCAUCAGAUGUGCCCAGAUGGGAUUAGCUAGUAGGUGGGGUAACGGCUCACCUAGGCGACGAUCCCUAGCUGGUCUGAGAGGAUGACCAGCCACACUGGAACUGAGACACGGUCCAGACUCCUACGGGAGGCAGCAGUGGGGAAUAUUGCACAAUGGGCGCAAGCCUGAUGCAGCCAUGCCGCGUGUGUGAAGAAGGCCUUCGGGUUGUAAAGCACUUUCAGCGGGGAGGAAGGCGAUAAGGUUAAUAACCUUGUCGAUUGACGUUACCCGCAGAAGAAGCACCGGCUAACUCCGUGCCAGCAGCCGCGGUAAUACGGAGGGUGCAAGCGUUAAUCGGAAUUACUGGGCGUAAAGCGCACGCAGGCGGUCUGUCAAGUCGGAUGUGAAAUCCCCGGGCUCAACCUGGGAACUGCAUUCGAAACUGGCAGGCUAGAGUCUUGUAGAGGGGGGUAGAAUUCCAGGUGUAGCGGUGAAAUGCGUAGAGAUCUGGAGGAAUACCGGUGGCGAAGGCGGCCCCCUGGACAAAGACUGACGCUCAGGUGCGAAAGCGUGGGGAGCAAACAGGAUUAGAUACCCUGGUAGUCCACGCCGUAAACGAUGUCGAUUUGGAGGUUGUGCCCUUGAGGCGUGGCUUCCGGAGCUAACGCGUUAAAUCGACCGCCUGGGGAGUACGGCCGCAAGGUUAAAACUCAAAUGAAUUGACGGGGGCCCGCACAAGCGGUGGAGCAUGUGGUUUAAUUCGAUGCAACGCGAAGAACCUUACCUGGUCUUGACAUCCACAGAACUUUCCAGAGAUGGAUUGGUGCCUUCGGGAACUGUGAGACAGGUGCUGCAUGGCUGUCGUCAGCUCGUGUUGUGAAAUGUUGGGUUAAGUCCCGCAACGAGCGCAACCCUUAUCCUUUGUUGCCAGCGGUCCGGCCGGGAACUCAAAGGAGACUGCCAGUGAUAAACUGGAGGAAGGUGGGGAUGACGUCAAGUCAUCAUGGCCCUUACGACCAGGGCUACACACGUGCUACAAUGGCAUAUACAAAGAGAAGCGACCUCGCGAGAGCAAGCGGACCUCAUAAAGUAUGUCGUAGUCCGGAUUGGAGUCUGCAACUCGACUCCAUGAAGUCGGAAUCGCUAGUAAUCGUAGAUCAGAAUGCUACGGUGAAUACGUUCCCGGGCCUUGUACACACCGCCCGUCACACCAUGGGAGUGGGUUGCAAAAGAAGUAGGUAGCUUAACCUUCGGGAGGGCGCUUACCACUUUGUGAUUCAUGACUGGGGUGAAGUCGUAACAAGGUAACCGUAGGGGAACCUGCGGUUGGAUCACCU
This 1528-nucleotide ribosomal RNA is filed under the name Klebsiella aerogenes. Its description in RNAcentral is "bacterial SSU rRNA". It matches the Rfam family "Bacterial small subunit ribosomal RNA". Lineage: Bacteria; Pseudomonadati; Pseudomonadota; Gammaproteobacteria; Enterobacterales; Enterobacteriaceae. RNAcentral also lists the same sequence under 1 other name. The record is from RNAcentral.